RNAcentral lists this non-coding RNA (550 nucleotides) under Lasius niger. RNAcentral's name for it is "Eukaryotic large subunit ribosomal RNA". It matches the Rfam family "Eukaryotic large subunit ribosomal RNA", at positions 1 to 536 of the family's 3401-position model. The record is from Rfam by way of RNAcentral. Lineage: Eukaryota; Metazoa; Arthropoda; Insecta; Hymenoptera; Formicidae.
CAACCUCAACUCAUGUGAGACUACUCCCUGAAUUUAAGCAUAUUAAUGAGGGAAGGAAAAGAAACUAACAAGGAUUUCCUUAGUAGCGGCGAGCGAAAAGGAAUCAUGUUCAGCACUAAGGGAUUUUGUUUUUAACAAAUAUCCGAUGCAGUGUAAGGAAUGUCUAUUAUCUAGUAUGACAAAUUAACCGUUUAAGUCCUUCUUAAACGAGGCCAUUUACCCAUAGAGGGUGCUAGGCCCGUAUAGCGUUAAUGAUUACUAGAAGAUAUUUCCAUAGAGUCGUGUUGCUUGAUAGUGCAGCACUAAGUGGGUGGUAAACUCCAUCUAAAACUAAAUAUAACCAUGAGACCGAUAGUAAACAAGUACCGUGAGGGAAAGUUGAAAAGAACUCUGAAUAGAGAGUUAAACAGUACGUGAAACUGCUUAGAGGUUAAGCCCGAUGAACCUGAAUAUCCGUUAUGGAAAAUUCAUCAUUAAAAUUGUAAUAUUUAAAUAAUAUUAUGAGAAUAGUGUGCAUUUUUUCCAUAUAAGGACAUUGUAAUCUAUUAGC